Molecule: transfer RNA, 86 nt
Filed under: archaeon
Lineage: Archaea
Description: tRNA-Ser
Rfam family: tRNA
About the family: Transfer RNA (tRNA) molecules are approximately 80 nucleotides in length.
Source: RNAcentral
GGAAGAUUGCCUGAGUUUGGUAAAGGGCCUGAUUGCUAAUCAGAGACAUGAGAAAUCAUACGUAGGUUCAAAUCCUGCAUCUUCCG